Molecule: ribosomal RNA, 301 nt
Filed under: uncultured bacterium
Lineage: Bacteria
Description: partial 16S ribosomal RNA
Rfam family: Bacterial small subunit ribosomal RNA
Source: RNAcentral
CAGUCGCCAGCGGGAAUACGUAGGGUGCAAGCGUUAAUCGGAAUUACUGGGCGUAAAGCGUGCGCAGGCGGUUAUAUAAGACAGAUGUGAAAUCCCCGGGCUCAACCUGGGAACUGCAUUUGUGACUGUAUAGCUAGAGUACGGCAGAGGGGGAUGGAAUUCCGCGUGUAGCAGUGAAAUGCGUAGAUAUGCGGAGGAACACCGAUGGCGAAGGCAAUCCCCUGGGCCUGUACUGACGCUCAUGCACGAAAGCGUGGGGAGCAAACAGGAUUAGAUACCCCAGUAGUCCCUGUCUCUUAUA